This 617-nucleotide ribosomal RNA is filed under the name uncultured bacterium. RNAcentral describes it as "bacterial SSU rRNA". It matches the Rfam family "Bacterial small subunit ribosomal RNA", at positions 8 to 607 of the family's 1533-position model. The record is from RNAcentral.
AGAGUUUGAUCCUGGCUCAGGAUGAACGCUGGCGGCGUGCCUAAUACAUGCAAGUCGAACGCACAGCGAAAGGUGCUUGCACCUUUCAAGUGAGUGGCGAACGGGUGAGUAACACGUGGACAACCUGCCUCAAGGCUGGGGAUAACAUUUGGAAACAGAUGCUAAUACCGAAUAAAACUCAGUGUCGCAUGACACAAAGUUAAAAGGCGCUUUGGCGUCACCUAGAGAUGGAUCCGCGGUGCAUUAGUUAGUUGGUGGGGUAAAGGCCUACCAAGACAAUGAUGCACAGCCGAGUUGAGAGACUGAUCGGCCACAUUGGGACUGAGACACGGCCCAAACUCCUACGGGAGGCUGCAGUAGGGAAUCUUCCACAAUGGGCGAAAGCCUGAUGGAGCAACGCCGCGUGUGUGAUGAAGGCUUUCGGGUCGUAAAGCACUGUUGUAUGGGAAGAACAGCUAGAAUAGGGAAUGAUUUUAGUUUGACGGUGCCAUACCAGAAAGGGACGGCUAAAUACGUGCCAGCAGCCGCGGUAAUACGUAUGUCCCGAGCGUUAUCCGGAUUUAUUGGGCGUAAAGCGAGCGCAGACGGUUGAUUAAGUCUGAUGUGAAAGCCCGGAG